Epinephelus fuscoguttatus (brown-marbled grouper) is the source of this 449-nucleotide non-coding RNA. The record is from the annotation of a RefSeq genome assembly. Lineage: Eukaryota; Metazoa; Chordata; Actinopteri; Perciformes; Serranidae.
AGUGAAGGACAGACACUAAAUCACUGACAUACACACUGUAGACUGGACAGAGACACCUGGCUUUUACAAUGAUCACACCUGAUUACUGGGUUGUUUUUCUCAUCCUGUCAAUUAACUGGGCAGGUACUGAGGGUCAAACACUGACUGAGUCUGAACCAGCGAUUAAAAGGCCUGGAGAAUCCCACACACUGACCUGCACAUAUUCUGGGUUCAGUGGCCAUCACUGGAAUGCUUGGAUCAGACAGGCUGCUGGAAAAGGACUGGAGUGGGUCGCUACUAUCAGCAGUGACAGCGGCAGCAUCUACUACUCUCAGUCAGUCAAAGGCCGGUUCACCAUCUCCAGAGACAACAGCAGACAGCAGGUGUAUCUGCAGAUGAACAGUCUGAAGACUGAAGAUUCUGCUGUUUAUUAUUGUGCUCGACAGCCACAGUGACACAGGAAGCAGCAA